Molecule: long non-coding RNA, 2396 nt
Filed under: Gallus gallus (chicken)
Lineage: Eukaryota; Metazoa; Chordata; Aves; Galliformes; Phasianidae
Description: lncRNA (ENSGALG00010013918.1)
Source: RNAcentral
GCCUGAAUUUAGAGGGGAGGAGUUGAACAACAGCAACUGAAAAUGUGUCUGAGGUGACUGAAAUAGUGACCACCUUGUCGGGACUAUCAUCUCUGAACUCAUCCUGUAGAGGCAGUGACAACCCCCUGUGUCUCAUUGCCAAGAGAGAGCCAGGGCCAACAUAAAAGCUGUGACAUGAAGAUGUCCAGGAGGAGUCAAAAUGCAGACUUCACACCUUCGUACAGCUGUCCUCUUCCUAAAGAGUUGACCUGUCAGCAGCAGCAGCAACAGUUUGGAACAGUUCUGCCAUCGAACGCCUCCCAGCUGCAGGUGCAGCACCAGACAAAAGCAUCUUCACAGAGCAGGACUCAGCCGGAGACGGCUCCCGAGGCUCUGUAAUCGAAUCUUUCCAUUCUAACAGUGUCAUCUAGAGGUACUAAAUAGGAUGAGGGUAUUGCUGUGACAAGUACUGCAGAAACUCCAGCUUCUGUGACCCAGCAGGACAUGGAAGCAACAGACCCAUUUGCCACAUUCAGCUGCAUUCAGUAGAGAGGCUGAGGCUUGGAGACAUUGAAUAUCUGAAGGCUUUUGAAGAAGAAACAUCACCCUAAUACUUCCACAGCAGGAGGCAGCUGAGCUUCACCUUCAGCUCAGACUCUGCCAAGGAACACCUAAAGGAUGAGCAAAUCAGAUAAAGGAGGGGAGUGCAGGACCAUGGAGUGAUGGAGGACUUAGGGAUGCAAAUUUGUAUGUAACCACCUCUUUCAGUCCCACUACUCACAGGGUGACUUCUUUAUGUAGAACCUGAAUGAUUGCAUGUUAUCUUCAAAUGCAUCUGGACCCCUUACGAGUGAUUGCUAAUAAUAAUAUACAGGUGAACACAGAUGAGAAAUGCAGCCUACAUAAUCCCUAAAGUGGACUCCUGCACUGACCCACUCAAGUACAGAAGCAGAUCAUGAUGAAGAACCAGUGCAGACUGCCUUAUCCUGUGGGGAUACCCAGCCUGAGGGCGAUAAAGAAGGCAAAUCCCAAGCUCUGCUUCCUUAAUCAGAGAGGAAAGAGGUUUUGUGUGCAGACAGUUCUGCUGAUAGGAACAAGGGUGCUCCAAGGUGUCCCUGUGCAGUCUUUGCUUGUGGGACCCAUCACCUCCUUAGAAACAUGGCCGCCUUCUACCACAGGGACAGAGAAAAAGUACCAUUUCAAAUAUGCCCCAUCUGUGGUUCCUAUGUUUGGAAAGCACUGGUGCACCUGUGAAAGGAGCGGAGUGAGCUGCAGGAGCAUUUGAUCUUGUGUAUUGAUCUCCCUGAAGAAAUGAGCCAACCUGCUGCCAACUUGCACUGAUCUGGAUGCUUUGCUCUGUGAUCGACAGCAAGGUAGUGUGCCAGAAAGGUCUGGGUUGUCCGAGCUGGAUUUGUGCCAUGAGAGUCAUGGGCCAGACUUUGCAGCUAGGAUUUGCAGGUGGUUUGUACUUCAGAUUUACCAUUUCCUUAAUACUCGAGGAUGGUGACACAAUCCUUCCUCUCUUUUGGAGAGAUGGCAGGGACGUUUGCACCACAUAUUAUCUUACUGAGAAAGGAGGUGGAAAUCCACUAGCGUGGUAGUACAGAUGAAAAUAUUAUCACAUUUGCUACACAACAUUUCCAUAUACAUUCUGAGGGCAUUUCUGUGGACAACAGAUGGGGGACUCACUGUCAAUAUGAGGAGGGCAGCAGAGAGAUCUUUGAGAUAAUUUGGAAGAGAAUUUGCAGAGAAGGCAAAUGUACCUCCUUCAGCUGGACAAGCUGUCAGAAGUCCUAACAAAGUUCCUCACAUUUUCUCUCUUCGGUGUAUUUUUAUAAGAAGGGAAAAUUGAAGGGAAAAGAAAGUCUCCUCUAAUCCUUACAAAAGUAUUGCUUUAUUGCACAUUCAUGAUAACGUGAUAACUUCUGUUUUCAAGAAAUGAAAUUCCAUAUGAUGGGUUAUUCUGAAAAGUGUUGACAAAUACAAUCCUAAUAUAAACCUUAAAACAAUACAAUUAUUGAUGCAAUGGCAUAUAAUAUCUCAACUUUCUUGAAGUAUUAUGCUUACUAUUAGUUUUUGCGCUUGGUAUUCUAUUAAAAAAUAAAAAAUGACCUCUUUUACCAUCACUGCAUCUAUCUCUCUAUAUUUAUUUGAUGCACAUCACAUGCUGCUGUCCAGAGAGCCUCUCCUCCAUUUCCAAAGUCAUCUCUCUCCACUGGCUUACAUCAUUUGGUCUUGGUGCACUGUCUCCGUUGGAAAAUUUGAACAACCUUUUCAAAACCACACACACGUUCCUUACCAGCUGCCUUUGUGAAUGGAGCCUUUUCCAGAAAAAUGUGACCUCACUUGGAAAUGACGCAAAGCUUUGGUUAGCACUGCAGAGUCUGAGCUGGUAAGACCUACCUGCUGAUACGGUG